Molecule: long non-coding RNA, 886 nt
Organism: Esox lucius (northern pike)
Lineage: Eukaryota; Metazoa; Chordata; Actinopteri; Esociformes; Esocidae
Source: Ensembl
AGUCCUGCAGGACAUUACAAAACUACAGCUCACCAAGCUGGACUUGAGAGAAUUUGCUCCUCCCACAGAAAAUUGACAUUGGCCUAGCUGCAGAUAAAGCCCUGAAGGGGAUGUCAUUCUACAACAGUUUGAGGCUCUCCUGACGCUUGAGUGUAGGAAUGAAGAGCUUUUCUCCUUCCAGCCAAUGGUAAAACGGCUGGACACCUUCUUGUGUGGCUGUUUAAGCUGUGCCUAUCCAGUGGCUUGGGCAUUUUGCCAGAAGCUGCUCCUCCUUUCUCAUGGCCAAGCUUCAGUUGAAAUGGGGUUCUCUGUGAACAAGGAGGUUGAGACUGACAAUAUGCAGGAAGAGACAAUGAUUGCACAUAGACUUGUAUGUGAUUAUGUAGAUUUGCACGGUGGGGUGACCAAAGUUCCCCUCAUAAAAGAACUGCUGGUAUCUGUGGGUGCAGCCAGGUUGAGUUACCGUAUUUUCCUUGAUCAGCAGCGUGCAAGGAAGGAGAGUGAAGCAUGGACACAGAAAAGAAAGCUGGCAAAGGAGUAUUUGACCAACCUUAAGAGAAAGAAAACCACUGUUCAAGAGGUUUCCACCUGUCUCACCAGAGAGGCCGACAUGCUGGCAGAGUUCCUUUCAAACUCGAACGCCCUCAGGUGGGCAAGCAAGGAGAAAUUGGCUGAGCUGAAAAAGGUUGAGGAGGAGAUCACCAUUAAAGGGGACGAACUGAGAAAAAUGUAGAUAGACACUGACUGACUUGUUAUUUUGGAAAGUAAUUCCAUAAAAUAAUUGUUAAUUUACAAUGUUACUUUACAAUGUUACAAUUGUUAAGUCUUGUUCUUGAUACUCAACUCGCACUCUUAAGAAAUUGGAACCUUAAAAUAAUAAAACUUG